GACGAACGCUGGCGGCGUGCUUAACACAUGCCAGUCGAGCGGAAAGGCCCUUCGGGGUACUCGAGCGGCGAACGGGUGAGUAACACGUGAGUAACCUGCCCCAGACUUUGGGAUAACCCUCGGAAACGGGGGCUAAUACCGGAUACGACACAGCUUCGCAUGGGGUCUGUGUGGAAAGUUUUUCGGUUUGGGAUGGGCUCGCAGCCUAUCAGCUUGUUGGUGGGGUGACGGCCUACCAAGGCGACGACGGGUAGCCGGCCUGAGAGGGCGACCGGCCACACUGGGACUGAGACACGGCCCAGACUCCUACGGGAGGCAGCAGUGGGGAAUAUUGCACAAUGGGCGGAAGCCUGAUGCAGCGACGCCGCGUGAGGGAUGACGGCCUUCGGGUUGUAAACCUCUUUCAGCAGGGACGAAGCGUAAGUGACGGUACCUGCAGAAGAAGCGCCGGCCAACUACGUG
Molecule: ribosomal RNA, 462 nt
Filed under: uncultured bacterium
Lineage: Bacteria
Description: partial 16S ribosomal RNA
Rfam family: Bacterial small subunit ribosomal RNA
Source: RNAcentral